CAGUCGCCGCGGGAAUACGAAGGGGGCUAGCGUUGCUCGGAAUUACUGGGCGUAAAGGGAGCGUAGGCGGAUCGUUAAGUUGGGGGUGAAAGCCCGGGGCUCAACCUCGGAAUUGCCUUCAAUACUGGCGAUCUUGAGUAUGGAAGGGGUAUGUGGAACUCCGAGUGUAGAGGUGAAAUUCGUAGAUAUUCGGAAGAACACCAGUGGCGAAGGCGACAUACUGGUCCAUUACUGACGCUGAGGCUCGAAAGCGUGGGGAGCAAACAGGAUUAGAUACCCCCGUAGUCCCUGUCUCUUAUAC
This 301-nucleotide ribosomal RNA is filed under the name uncultured bacterium. RNAcentral's name for it is "partial 16S ribosomal RNA". It matches the Rfam family "Bacterial small subunit ribosomal RNA", at positions 509 to 807 of the family's 1533-position model. The record is from RNAcentral.